AACGAACGCUGGCGGCAGGCUUAACACAUGCAAGUCGAGCGCCCCACGAGGGGCGCGCCAGUCUGGUGAGUAACGCGUGGGAACGUACCCUUCUCUUCUGGAUAGCUCCUGGAAACUGGAAUUAAUACCGAAAGUGCCCUUUAUAGCAAAGAUUUAUGGGAUAAGGAUGGGACCUCGUUGGAUUAGCUAGUUGGUGUGGUAAAGGCCUACCAAGGCGACGAUCCAUAGCUGUUCUGAGAGGACGAUCGGCCACAUUGAGACUGAGCCACGGCCCAAACUCCUACGGGAUGCAGCAGUGGGGAAUAUUGGACAAUGGGGGCAAGGCUGAUCCAGCCAUGACGGGUGAGCGAUGAAGGCCUUAGGGUUGUAAAGCGCUUUCACCGGAGAAGAUAAUGACGGUAUCCGGAGAAGAAGCCCCGGCUAACUUCGUG
RNAcentral lists this ribosomal RNA (431 nucleotides) under uncultured bacterium. Its description in RNAcentral is "partial 16S ribosomal RNA". It matches the Rfam family "Bacterial small subunit ribosomal RNA", at positions 29 to 507 of the family's 1533-position model. The record is from RNAcentral.